CCUACGGGAGGCAGCAGUGGGGAAUAUUGCACAAUGGGCGCAAGCCUGAUGCAGCGACGCCGCGUGAGGGAUGACGGCCUUCGGGUUGUAAACCUCUUUCAGUAGGGAAGAAGCGUAAGUGACGGUACCUGCAGAAGAAGCGCCGGCUAACUACGUGCCAGCAGCCGCGGUAAUACGUAGGGCGCAAGCGUUAUCCGGAAUUAUUGGGCGUAAAGAGCUCGUAGGCGGUUUGUCGCGUCUGCCGUGAAAGUCCGGGGCUCAACUCCGGAUCUGCGGUGGGUACGGGCAGACUAGAGUGAUGUAGGGGAGACUGGAAUUCCUGGUGUAGCGGUGAAAUGCGCAGAUAUCAGGAGGAACACCGAUGGCGAAGGCAGGUCUCUGGGCAUUAACUGACGCUGAGGAGCGAAAGCAUGGGGAGCGAACAGGAUUAGAUACCCUGGUAGUCCAUGCCGUAAACGUUGGGCACUAGGUGUGGGGGACAUUCCACGUUUUCCGCGCCGUAGCUAACGCAUUAAGUGCCCCGCCUGGGGAGUACGGCCGCAAGGCUAAAACUCAAAGGAAUUGACGG
Molecule: ribosomal RNA, 568 nt
Filed under: uncultured bacterium
Lineage: Bacteria
Description: bacterial SSU rRNA
Rfam family: Bacterial small subunit ribosomal RNA
Source: RNAcentral